Salvia splendens (bonfire salvia) is the source of this 285-nucleotide long non-coding RNA. RefSeq lists it as uncharacterized. The transcript has 2 exons. Lineage: Eukaryota; Viridiplantae; Streptophyta; Magnoliopsida; Lamiales; Lamiaceae. The record is from RefSeq and is a predicted model, not a curated record.
CUUUAAGUCCUAAAGUUGUCGAGUAUCUUGUUUGUGGUCAAAAUUGGCUUCGCAAAUCUUCCAAAUUUAGUGUUGAAGAAAUUCUUGAAGAUGUCCAAAAGAUAGAAGAAGAUUCAACAAAUUAAUCAAUCUCCAUUAUUUGUUGAAACUUGCUUGCACUUGGACAAUAUUGAAGACUUGUCAUGGAACUUCAUUUUGGAUUUAUUUUGAUGUAAUGUGUUGAAACUAUUGAAGACAUUUUGGUUGAUGUUUUUUAUUGUGGAAUGUUGAUUGCAUAUUUGUAUU